Molecule: ribosomal RNA, 460 nt
Filed under: uncultured bacterium
Lineage: Bacteria
Description: partial 16S ribosomal RNA
Rfam family: Bacterial small subunit ribosomal RNA
Source: RNAcentral
CCUACGGGUGGCAGCAGUGAGGAAUAUUGGUCAAUGAACGAGAGUCUGAACCAGCCAAGUAGCGUGAAGGAUGACUGCCCUAUGGGUUGUAAACUUCUUUUAUAUGGGAAUAAAAUGUUCCACGUGUGGGAUUUUGUAUGUACCAUAUGAAUAAGGAUCGGCUAACUCCGUGCCAGCAGCCGCGGUAAUACGGAGGAUCCGAGCGUUAUCCGGAUUUAUUGGGUUUAAAGGGAGCGUAGGUGGAUUGUUAAGUCAGUUGUGAAAGUUUGCGGCUCAACCGUAAAAGUGCAGUUGAAACUGGCAGUCUUGAGUACAGUAGAGGUGGGCGGAAUGCGUGGUGUAGCGGUGAAAUGCUUAGAUAUCACGAAGAACUCCGAUUGCGAAGGCAGUUCACUGGACUGCAACUGACACUGAGGCUCGAAAGUGUGGGUAUCAAACAGGAUUAGAUACCCGAGUAGUC